RNAcentral lists this ribosomal RNA (468 nucleotides) under uncultured bacterium. Its description in RNAcentral is "partial 16S ribosomal RNA". It matches the Rfam family "Bacterial small subunit ribosomal RNA", at positions 28 to 507 of the family's 1533-position model. The record is from RNAcentral.
GACGAACGCUGGCGGCGUGCUUAACACAUGCAAGUCGAACGGUGAUGCUCCAGCUUGCUGGAGUGGAUCAGUGGCGAACGGGUGAGUAACACGUGAGCAACCUGCCCCAGACUCUGGAAUAAGCGCUGGAAACGGCGUCUAAUACUGGAUACGAAACUGGCCCGCAUGGGCAUGGUUUGGAAAGUUUUUCGGUUUGGGAUGGGCUCGCGGCCUAUCAGCUUGUUGGUGAGGUACUGGCUCACCAAGGCGACGACGGGUAGGCGGCCUGAGAGGGCGACCGGCCACACGGGGACUGAGACACGGCCCAGACUCCUACGGGAGGCAGCAGGGGGGAAUAUUGCACAAUGGGCGAAAGCCUGAUGCAGCGACGCCGCGUGAGGGAAGACGGCCUGCGGGUUGUAAACCUCUUUCAGCAGGGAAGAAGCGAAAGUGACGGUACCUGCAGAAGAAGCACCGGCUAACUACGUG